This is a non-coding RNA of Moesziomyces antarcticus, 72 nucleotides long. Lineage: Eukaryota; Fungi; Basidiomycota; Ustilaginomycetes; Ustilaginales; Ustilaginaceae. The record is from the annotation of a RefSeq genome assembly.
GCGUUGAUAGUACAAUGGCCAGUAUUUCUGCUUUCCACGCAGAAGAUAGGGGUUCGAUUCCCCUUCAACGCA